AUGGUUAAAUGGUGGUGGAAACUUGAAACUCAAAAAGGGCUUUGGCAGGAUAUUGUUCGUGCCAGAUACCUCCGCAACAAAACUGUUGCGGAUGUCACUCCCAGGUUCUCUGAUUCACCAUGCUGGAAAGCAUUACUAAAAGUAAAAGAGGUGUAUAUGAUAGGCAGAAAGAUUGAGACUAAAUCUUGGAACAUCACUAGGAUGUGGAAAGACUCGAUUAACAGGUUACCUCCUCUUCAGGAGCAAUACCCUCAAAUGUUUGACAUAUGUAACUCCUGA
RNAcentral lists this ribosomal RNA (279 nucleotides) under Triticum aestivum (bread wheat). Its description in RNAcentral is "partial small subunit ribosomal RNA". The record is from RNAcentral. Lineage: Eukaryota; Viridiplantae; Streptophyta; Magnoliopsida; Poales; Poaceae.